GAUGAACGCUGGCGGCGUGCCUCAAACAUGCAAGUCGAGCGGGGCUAUGUAAUAUCGCAAGGUAGAACAUAGCCUAGCGGCGAACGGGUGAGUAACACGUGGGUAACCUGCCUGGAAGACAGGGAUAACGAUUCGAAAGGGUCGCUAAUACCUGAUAAUAUCCUUUCAUCGCAUGGUGAUAGGAAGAAAGGGGAAACCCGCUUUCAGAUGGGCCCGCGUCCCAUCAGCUAGUUGGUAAGGUAAAGGCUUACCAAGGCGACGACGGGUAGCCGGUCUGAGAGGAUGUACGGCCACACUGGGACUGAGAUACGGCCCAGACUCCUACGGGAGGCAGCAGUUGGGAAUUUUGGACAAUGGGCGCAAGCCUGAUCCAGCCAUUCCGCGUGCAGGAUGAAGGCCCUCGGGUUGUAAACUGCUUUUGUACGGAGCGAAAAGGCUCUCUCUAAUACAAGGGGCUCAUGACGGUACCGUAAGAAUAAGACACCGGCUAACUACGUGCCAGCAGACCGG
Molecule: ribosomal RNA, 510 nt
Filed under: uncultured bacterium
Lineage: Bacteria
Description: bacterial SSU rRNA
Rfam family: Bacterial small subunit ribosomal RNA
Source: RNAcentral